This 506-nucleotide ribosomal RNA is filed under the name uncultured bacterium. RNAcentral's name for it is "partial 16S ribosomal RNA". It matches the Rfam family "Bacterial small subunit ribosomal RNA", at positions 28 to 523 of the family's 1533-position model. The record is from RNAcentral.
GAUGAACGCUAGCUACAGGCUUAACACAUGCAAGUCGAGGGGUAACAAGAGAAAAGCUUGCUUUUCUUGUUGACGACCGGCGCACGGGUGAGUAACGCGUAUCCAACCUGCCCCCAACUAGGGAAUAACCUUGCGAAAGUAAGACUAAUACCCUAUAAUUUCCUCAGAUGUCAUCUGACGAGGAAUAAAGAUUUAUCGGUUGUGGAUGGGGAUGCGUCUGAUUAGCUUGUUGGCGGGGUAACGGCCCACCAAGGCAACGAUCAGUAGGGGUUCUGAGAGGAAGGUCCCCCACAUGGGAACUGAGACACGGUCCAAACUCCUACGGGAGGCAGCAGUGAGGAAUAUUGGUCAAUGGGCGGAAGCCUGAACCAGCCAAGUAGCGUGCAGGAUGACGGCCCUAUGGGUUGUAAACUGCUUUUAUACAGGAAUAAAGUUAGCCACGUGUGGUUAUUUGUAGGUACUGUAUGAAUAAGGACCGGCUAAUUCCGUGCCAGCCGCCGCCGUAA